CUCGACCUCAGAUCAGACAAGGCUACCCGCUGAAUUUAAGCAUAUUAAUAAGCGGAGGAAAAGAAACUAACAAGGAUUCCCCCAGUAACGGCGAGUGAAGCGGGAUGAGCUCAAAUUUAAAAUCUCCGUUGCUUGCAACGGCGAAUUGUAGUUUCGAGAAGCGCUUUCUCGGCGGACCGGCCGCGCCUAAGUUGCUUGGAACAGCACGUCAUAGAGGGUGACAACCCCGUCUGUGGCGUGUCCGGCCGCUCACGAUGUGCUUUCGAAGAGUCGGGUUGUUUGGGAAUGCAGCCCAAAAUGGGUGGUAAACUCCAUCUAAAGCUAAAUAUGGGCACGAGACCGAUAGCGAACAAGUACCGUGAGGGAAAGAUGAAAAGGACUUUGGAAAGAGAGUUAAAAAGUACGUGAAACCGUUAAAAGGGAAACGAAUGGAGCUAGCAAUGCACCCUGCGAGAUUCAGCCGGUGGGUGGUUCGGGCGCGCGGUUUGCAGAUCUGAAUUGACUGCGGCCGCGUGGUUUGGGCUCCCCGCCGUCGCACUUCUCGCGGGUGCGCGUCAACAUGGGUUGGGACCGGGUCUUAAAGGCGUCGGCAAGGUAGGUCCGUCCCUCCGGGGUCGGACUGUUUAGGCCGGCGUUCUCGCGGCUCGGGCCCGACCGAGGCGAUUGCAGCACAUGCCUCUUGUGGCUGGUGUCCCGUUCCUCCGGUUGGUUGUCGACCGUGGUGGACUGCUUGCAGUGCACCACGACUGCUGCCGGUCGCUGGGGCGGUGACUUCGCACGAUGUGCUUGGGAUGUUGGCGGUGAUAUGGCUUUAUCCGACCCGUCUUGAAACACGGACCAAGGAGUCUACCAUAUGCGCGAGUCUUUGGGUGAUUGAAACCCGCGGGCAGAAUGAAAGUGAAGACGGCCUCGGCCGUCGAGGUGAGAACCUCCCCUUACCGGGGUGGCGCAUCAUCGACCGACCUAUUCUACUCCUAGG
This 979-nucleotide ribosomal RNA is filed under the name Stichopathes abyssicola. Its description in RNAcentral is "partial 28S ribosomal RNA". It matches the Rfam family "Eukaryotic large subunit ribosomal RNA", at positions 1 to 783 of the family's 3401-position model. The record is from RNAcentral. Lineage: Eukaryota; Metazoa; Cnidaria; Anthozoa; Antipatharia; Antipathidae.